Molecule: ribosomal RNA, 466 nt
Filed under: uncultured bacterium
Lineage: Bacteria
Description: partial 16S ribosomal RNA
Rfam family: Bacterial small subunit ribosomal RNA
Source: RNAcentral
GACGAACGCUGGCGGUGUGCUUAACACAUGCAAGUCGAACGGUAAGGCCCUUUCGGGGGUACACGAGUGGCGAACGGGUGAGUAACACGUGAGUAACCUGCCCUCAUCUCUUGGAUAACAGUCGGAAACGGUUGCUAAUACUGGAUAUGAGCUUGCAAUGCAUCUUGUGGGUUGGAAAGAUUUUUUUGGUUGGGGAUGGACUCGCGGCCUAUCAGCUUGUUGGUGAGGUAGUGGCUCACCAAGGCUUCGACGGGUAGCCGGCCUGAGAGGGCGACCGGCCACAUUGGGACUGAGAUACGGCCCAAACUCAUACGGGAGGCAGCAGUGGGGAAUAUUGAACAAUGGACGGAAGUCUGAUGCAGCAACGCCGCGUGCGGGAGGACGGCCUUCGGGUUGUAAACCGCUUUCAAUUGUGACGAAGCUUUUUGUGACGGUAGCAGUAGAAGAAGCACCGGCUAACUACGUG